Molecule: long non-coding RNA, 606 nt
Filed under: Homo sapiens (human)
Lineage: Eukaryota; Metazoa; Chordata; Mammalia; Primates; Hominidae
Description: HSALNT0210873
Source: RNAcentral
GUUAAUAGAGUCCUACGAGAUGAGAAGAGUAACUGGUGAAUGGGCUCUAUUUUUUAAUCUAGUUGGUGAUUUAUGGAGAAGAGAAAGAGACUCUUCAGGUUUCUGCCUUUCCAUCUCAUUUCAAGAACAGAAAUACAUCGAGAUGGGGCGUCCUUACUCCCAGUCUUUCCAGAUGUUCUUCCCACUCCUCAACUGCUCCUGGCUCAGAAACCCUGCACACCUGGAAGAAAGUGAGAACCAGUUUUUCAACAAACACAUUGCACAGACUUAUUGUGAACCCCGGGUGGAAUCAAGCAUCGGAGGAAGAGAACGUGGUAAUAUUGACUCCAAUCCAGAAGACAGUCAUCAGUUAAGUAAAUAAAACAGGAACAGAACAUUGGUACUUACAGUAGGCAUGAUUUUAAGAUAAACCCCAAUGAGUCAUAUCCUUGUAUAAUCUCCUCCCCUUGAGUGUUGUUGGAGCUAAUGAGUUGCAUUUAGUGAACAGAAUAUGGCAAAGAUGGUGGGAUCGUCACUUCCGUGGUUAUGUUAUUGCUAUGUAAACUGCCAUUAUAGCAGACUGGAAGGAUUGAUUCUCCUUUUGGCCAUGACGUAGUGAGGUACCAU